Molecule: ribosomal RNA, 253 nt
Filed under: uncultured bacterium
Lineage: Bacteria
Description: partial 16S ribosomal RNA
Rfam family: Bacterial small subunit ribosomal RNA
Source: RNAcentral
UACGUAGGGUGCGAGCGUUAAUCGGAAUUACUGGGCGUAAAGCGUGCACAGGCGGUUUUGUAAGCCAGAUGUGAAAGCCCCGGGCUUAACCUGGGAAUGGCAUUUGGGACUGCAAGGCUAGAGUGUGGCAGAGGAGACUGGAAUUCCUGGUGUAGCAGUGAAAUGCGUAGAUAUCAGGAGGAAUAGCGAUGGCGAAGGCAGGUCUCUGGGUUAACACUGACGCUCAUGCACGAAAGCGUGGGGAGCAAACAGG